GACUGCGGUAUGCUAUACAUGCAGUCGAGCGAAUGGAUUAGAGAGCUUGCUCUCAUGAAGUUAGCGGCGGACGGGUGAGUAACACGUGGGUAACCUGCCCAUAAGACUGGGAUAACUCCGGGAAACCGGGGCUAAUACCGGAUAACAUUUUGAACUGCAUGGUUCGAAAUUGAAAGGCGGCUUCGGCUGUCACUUAUGGAUGGACCCGCGUCGCAUUAGCUAGUUGGUGAGGUAACGGCUCACCAAGGCAACGAUGCGUAGCCGACCUGAGAGGGUGAUCGGCCACACUGGGACUGAGACACGGGCAUGAUGAUUUGGGGUCGCAGCCAUAGGGAAUCUGUCCGCCAUGGGACGUCAGUUCAGACGGCAGCCACCCCUGCUUGAAGGAUGAAGUCUUGCGGGUCGUAAAUCUCUGGUUGUUAGGGAAGAACAUGUGCUAGUUGACUAAGCUGCCACGUUGACGGUACCUAACAAGAAAGGCAAAGCUAGCUACAGUGCCAGCAGCUGCGGUAAUACGUAGAUGCCAAGCGUGAUCUGGAGUUAUUGGGCGUAAAGCGCGCGCAGGUGGUUUCUUAAGUCUGAUGUGAAAGCCCACGGCUCAACCGGUGGAUGGGUCAUUGGAAACUGGGAGACUUGAGUGCAGAAGAGGAAAGUGGAAUUCCAUGUGUAGCGGUGAAAUGCGUAGAGAUAUGGAGGAACACCAGUGGCGAAUGCGACUUUCUGGUCUGUAACUGACACUGAAGCGCGAAAGCGUGGGGAGCAAACAGCAUUAGAUACCCUGGUAGUACACGCCGUAAACGAUGAGUGCUAAGUGUUAGAGGGUUUCCAGCCCUUUAGUGCUGAAGUCAACGCAUCAAGCACUCCGCCUGGGGAGUACGACCGCAAGACUGAAACUCAACCGAAGUGACUGGGAUCCCGCACAAGCGAUGACACAUGUGGUUUAAUCCGAGGCAACAGCGAAGAACAUUAUCAGGUCUGGACAUCCUCUGAAAUGCCUACAGAUAGGGCUUCUCCUCCCGAAGCCGAUUGACAAGUGGUGCAUGGUUGUCCUCAACUCGUGUCUGCGAAAUAUUGGUUUAAGUCCCACACCGAAUGCAACCUGGCCUAUGGGAUCUUAGUUGCCGACCAACAUUACCCCGGGCAACCGAGAGAAGGCGACUCCUGCUGACACCCCCUAUCGGCAGGAAGGUGGGGAUGACGUCAAAUCAUCAUGCCCCUUAUGACCUGGGCUACACACGUGCUACAAUGGACGGUACAAAGAGCUGCAAGACCGCGAGGUGGAGCUAAUCUCAUAAAACCGUUCUCAGUUCGGAUUGUAGGCUGCAACUCGCCUACAUGAAGCUGGAAUCGCUAGUAAUCGCGGAUCAGCAUGCCGCGGUGAAUACGUUCCCGGGCCUUGUACACACCGCCCGUCACACCACGAGAGUUUGUAACACCCGAAGUCGGUGGGGUAACCUUUUUGGAGCCAGCCGCCUAAGGUGGGACAGAUGAUUGGGGGAAGUCGAACAAUGAGACGCC
This 1518-nucleotide ribosomal RNA is filed under the name Bacillus thuringiensis. RNAcentral's name for it is "bacterial SSU rRNA". It matches the Rfam family "Bacterial small subunit ribosomal RNA". The record is from RNAcentral. Lineage: Bacteria; Bacillati; Bacillota; Bacilli; Caryophanales; Bacillaceae.